CUGAGAGACUUUUCCAUGUUCAGUGACCCCUUUAAUUAAAAACUGUCCUAGAUGCACAUCAGCUGCUAAUGUUGUCUGCAGGGACUUCGAUAAAUUUGAAAGAACAAUUGUUUCCCUUAAUCACAUAUUACGAUAGCUUUGCUGCUGUCCAUUUAUUAGAUGAUAUUUGCACAAUAAAUUUAUAUAUAUUUCUCUCCAAUAUUAACAUUUGACCAACUGUGUGUUUUAUGAAUUAUAUAAAGUUAACUAUGUUGAAAGGUGUGAACUGUGCUCGUAAAAUGUGGUAAUGUACCGCGCUGCCAUACACAAAAUACAUUGUAAUUCUGGUGUGCUGACUACAUUGUUCAAAGUAUAGAAUACUGUGGUUCUUGAAAUUGUUUUGAUAAAGUAUUUGAAUAUUGCCAAAGAGUUGCGCUCAAAACAAUUUUCCAGAAAUACAAUGGUGUGUGAAAUGAAUGUAGCUAAUUGGGCUGUAAACAGUUGUGGAUUGAGACCAUUUGCUGUAUAAUUCUGGGAUUUUAAUAUGGCUAGUGUAAUUUUCUUGAGGAACUCAUCUGCCAUCUGGAGAUCCUCACAGAUCAUCUUUCAGUGGUGUCCUCAUGAAAGCAGACUGUGCAACAAAGCAAUCUCGGCUGCUGUGGUUAAUGUGUGUGUACAGAAUUGUGUCCUCUGGAAACUUACAGUUCAGUGACCUCUGCAGUAAUUAUCAGAAGUAACUCAGAGGAUGACAUCCCCUUGCAGCCUGUAUCUCAUUGGAAGAAAUGCUGGGAGUAAAAGAAGUUAAUGUGAUCGCUUGUGUUGUGCAUUUCAUUGCGGGAUUGAUCCACUUCGUUGUGACUUAUCUAGUCUCAUCAUAUUACUGAUAUGCCUGAUAUUUGUACUGUAAACUACAGUUAAUACAACACUGUGACAAAACAAAAGUAAUUGAGCAAAAUGUAAUUAUAUGAUAUUUUCUUAAAAUUAUGUUAUCUAAAAAUUGUGACUGGCCAGUCUGUGAUUUAAGCAUUUUAAUGAGUGCAUUGUUUGCAUUCUUUAGGUAAUGUAAUGUUUAUAACAUUUAAAAUAAUUUUACAUUUAAAGUUUCCCAAUAUAUAGAUAUAUAUGUGUGUGUGUGUGUGUAUAUAUAUAUAUAUAUAUAUAUAUAAUUUUAUGUUCAUUUAAUGUUAUGUUAUACAAACGUCUUUGAUGAAUAAAUAAAGACGUUAAUUAAUGUAGUAGACACUUACAAUAGAAUUAACAAAAAUCAGAGAAUAAAACAUUUGUUGAUGGAAAAUUUACUGCAUUAACAUAUGAAUGUGAUUAUUAGAGGAAUUUUGACAUUUUUAAAAUUCAGUAUAUAAAAACCUAGUAGACAUACAUAAAUAGAUGCACUUUAUGUUCCAUGAGAAUGGAAGUGUAGUACAAUACUGGUUGCAGAAUGAUAAGAGGUCAGUUAAGGCUACAAUAAUUUUGCGUACAAUUUGCUCUUAGACCACCUGAGCUUAUGUUAACUCUUAUUAAUUGUACUGUACUUCUGUGGACUUUUUUCACUCGUGUUAAAUAUUUCCUGCCCUAAAUUACUAACUCCUGUUCAUGAGAUGCUUGCAAAACAGUCGUCUUCGUGGACUGAACCCGUAUGUUUGAGAUACUGGCUAUACAUUGUAAUGGUUGAUGACUGAUUCCAAAAUAAACAAUGCCACAAUCUACGGUAGA
Molecule: non-coding RNA, 1692 nt
Organism: Zootermopsis nevadensis
Lineage: Eukaryota; Metazoa; Arthropoda; Insecta; Blattodea; Termopsidae
Source: RefSeq, a predicted model, not a curated record